RNA transcript from Alnus glutinosa, 2473 nucleotides. It is a transcript of the gene named pentatricopeptide repeat-containing protein At3g60050-like, with no coding region annotated. The transcript has 2 exons. The record is from RefSeq and is a predicted model, not a curated record. NCBI's taxonomy places the organism in Eukaryota, Viridiplantae, Streptophyta, Magnoliopsida, Fagales, Betulaceae.
UACUUGCAAUAGGAUCCUCUCGCAGGUUGCCCCAUUUGCUCACUCACACAAGCAAAACCUCAGGCGGGAAUUAGAGCCAGCUCAGGAAGACUGAUAUCGCCCUACCAAUUAGCACAAUCUCAGGUAAGUCAUCCACCUCCUUCACAAGUGAAGCGAAGUCCUUACUCGAUGAACAUUUCUUAUUCGAUUCAACCCCUUUUGUGUAUCUGGGCCUUUUCAUUUUAAUGGGUAUCCUUCAAUUUCAUCAUAGGAAGCUUUUGGAGCUCUCUAUGCUUAGAAUUUUCAAUUUGUUAGUAGGUUUCUUGGAUUUUUUGGGUACUGCAAAGUUUCACUGAUAAUGGGGAGUAGAAAUGAACUCUAUAUAUUUGUUUGGUCCAAGAGUGGUUCCCAAAAUCUCCUGUUUUUUCAUAAUUUCACGAAAAUUAUGCGACCGUGGGUUCGAUGGCGAUAAGGUUGAUAAUGGGUUUGGGUGCAUUGAGGAACCCUUGGAAGGAAUGUUGAGAUAUUCGGACUUUGAUUCCAUUUCUUAUGAAAAACCUGAUGAAAGCCGAGUCCGGGGACAUUUCUCGGUGAGGCAGGGUUUUUUUGACAACGCAAAGAUUGAUGCCAGGAGGAUUCUUGAAGUUCUCGAGCAAGAUUGCCCGGGGUUUGAUACGAAAUUGGCUCUAGACGAGUUGUAUAUAAGGCUUUCUGGGCUUCUAGUGAGGGAAGUUCUGUUGGGAAUUUUGAGGAAUGUAAAUUAUGGCAAUAAGAUGCGGUGUGCAAAAUUAGGGUAUAAGUUUUUCGUGUGGUCUGGUCAGCAGGAGAGUUACAAGCACACAGCAAAUUCUUACCAUUUAAUAAUGAAGAUCUUUGCAGAUUGUGAGGAGUUUAAGGCAAUGUGGAGGCUACUUGAUGAGAUGAUUGAGAAUGGGUUCCCAACCACGGCACGUACCUUUAACAUAUUGAUAUGCACUUGUGGUGGGGCGGGAUUGGCUAGGAAAGUUGUGGAGAGGUUCAUAAAAUCGAAGACAUUUAAUUAUAGGCCUUUCAAACAUUCAUACAAUGCGAUUUUGCAUUCCCUUCUCACGGUAAACCAAUACAAGUUGAUUGAGUGGGUGUAUCAGCAGAUGUUAGCUGAGGGUCAUUCUCCAGAUAUUCUAACUUAUAAUGUUGUCAUGUGUGCAAAGUAUAGGUUGGGAAAGUUGGAUCAGUUUCAUAGACUGCUUGAUGAAAUGGGUAGAAGUGGAUUUUCUCCAGACUUCCAUACAUAUAACAUUCUUCUGCACGUUCUGGGCAAAGGAGACAAACCACUUGCAGCCCUUAAUCUUUUGAAUCACAUGAAGGAAGUAGGUUUUGAUCCGAGUGUUCUUCACUUCACCACGUUGAUAGAUGGAUUUAGCCGGGCUGGAAAUUUGGAUGCCUGCAAAUAUUUUUUUGACCAAAUGAUAAAGAAUGGGUGUAUGCCUGAUGUGGUUUGUUACACUGUAAUGAUCACAGGAUAUAUUGUGGCUGGGGAGCUAGAGAAAGCUCAGGAAAUGUUUGAUGAGAUGAUAGUCAAGGGACAGCUUCCAAAUGUAUUCACAUACAAUUCCAUGAUUCGUGGGUUUUGUAUGGCAGGGAAAUUCGAGGAGGCAUGCUCAUUGCUUAAGGAAAUGGAAUCUAGAGGUUGUAAUCCGAAUUUCCUUGUGUACAGCACCCUAGUGAGUAAUUUGAGAAAUGCUGGAAAGCUUUCUGAAGCUCAUGAAGUAAUAAGACAUAUGGGGGAGAAGGGGCAGUAUGCUCAUCUUGUCUCGAAGUUCAAGAAAUAUAGGAGAUGCUAAAGUGACAAAAUUUUUAAGUGGAGAUUAUUCUCUUGUAACCUCAUAGGGAUGUUACUAAUUCAUCCAGCUCAGUUGACAACAUGUACUUGCCUGCUACUUCAGUUAUCACAGAAGCAAAAAGAUUAAAGUUGUAGUAACCAACCAAAGUUGUAUGGCCUUUCUUGCCGACUCUAUUUCCACUUUCUCAAGCUGUGGAUGCGAUAGUCAACAAUGCCUUUGGCGCCUGCGGCAUCUCAACAUCAGCAACUCACAUACACGUCUGGAUGGUCCAACCCAUGGAAAACUUAUCAUCAAGAUUCAAGACAAGCACGUAAACGGACUUUGUUCGGAUGAGCAAUUUGUGUUUGCACGUCGGGUUUCUCGAUCGUGUCCAAGUAAGUUAACUCUAACCCGAACCCGACCUGUCUGAUAAAAAGCCUGUCAUAGUAAGUGGGAUCCUGCUCUGAUCCGAGUCAUUUACUUGAGCAUUCAACAUCAGGUCACGAUCAAGCCACCUAGGCAAAUUAGUGGGUAACCGCUAAAUUUGAUGCUCUCAAAUUGUACCAUGCGUCCGUCAUAUUAAUCCCUCUACACCCAUGUAUAUCUCGCUCUCAAAGAUUGGAUUUAGCAAUUUGCUUUAAUUUGUAUUGAUUCAAUUCCUUUCCGAUGAAUUUUCCCGUGGCGGAUUUAGA